CAGCAGCCGCGGGAAUACGAAGGGUGCAAGCGUUAAUCGGAAUUACUGGGCUUAAAGCGCGUGUAGGCGGAUUGGUGCGUCGGUGCCUGAAAUCCCCCGGCUCAACCGGGGAACGCGGCCCGAAACGACCAGUCUGGAGGGACGUAGGGGGAACUGGAACUUCCGGUGGAGCGGUGAAAUGCGUUGAGAUCGGAAGGAACGCCCGUGGCGAAAGCGAGUUCCUGGACGUCUGCUGACGCUGAGACGCGAAAGCUAGGGGAGCGAACGGGAUUAGAUACCCGUGUAGUCCCUGUCUCUUAUC
RNAcentral lists this ribosomal RNA (301 nucleotides) under uncultured bacterium. RNAcentral's name for it is "partial 16S ribosomal RNA". It matches the Rfam family "Bacterial small subunit ribosomal RNA", at positions 509 to 807 of the family's 1533-position model. The record is from RNAcentral.